GGGCUAGUACUGGUUUCGACAGGGACUUGGAAUCUGGUGAAGCUAUUCGUAGGUGAUGCGUCAAAUCACAAACUUAAAAUUAAACGCUGAAGAUAAUUUAGCUUACGCUGCCUAGUUGCAGCUGUCACGAAUAAGUCUCCUACAGCUUAUUCGCUGGCAUCGACUUUCGUAGGGAACUCUAUAUACAAAGCUUUGCGUAUGUAGAAGCAAUAUGAAGCUACCAAGGGAUAAAGGAUGUUCGUUUCCGUUAUUCUGAGGGAAAGUAAAAGAACGGACUAUGAUAGUAGAAGAACAGUGGAAGAGUUUUUGGACAUGGGUUCGACUCCCAUCUAGUCCACUC
This 340-nucleotide transfer-messenger RNA is filed under the name Eubacterium sp. It matches the Rfam family "transfer-messenger RNA". Rfam says of the family: Bacterial tmRNA, also known as 10Sa RNA or SsrA, is named for its dual tRNA and mRNA-like properties. Its role is to liberate the mRNA from a stalled ribosome. To accomplish this part of the tmRNA is used as a reading frame that ends in a translation stop signal. The record is from RNAcentral. RNAcentral also lists the same sequence under 1 other name. Lineage: Bacteria; Bacillati; Bacillota; Clostridia; Eubacteriales; Eubacteriaceae.